RNAcentral lists this ribosomal RNA (603 nucleotides) under uncultured bacterium. RNAcentral describes it as "bacterial SSU rRNA". It matches the Rfam family "Bacterial small subunit ribosomal RNA", at positions 788 to 1392 of the family's 1533-position model. The record is from RNAcentral.
UGGUAGUNCACGCCCUAAACGAUGUCGAUUAGCUGUUGGGCAACUUGAUUGCUUAGUAGCGUAGCUAACGCGUGAAAUCGACCGCCUGGGGAGUACGGUCGCAAGAUUAAAACUCAAAGGAAUUGACGGGGACCCGCACAAGCGGUGGAUGAUGUGGAUUAAUUCGAUGCAACGCGAAGAACCUUACCUGGUCUUGACAUGUACGGAAGAACUCAGAGACGAGUUUGUGCCUUCGGGAACCGUAACACAGGUGCUGCAUGGCUGUCGUCAGCUCGUGUCGUGAGAUGUUGGGUUAAGUCCCGCAACGAGCGCAACCCUUGUCAUUAGUUGCCAUCAUUUAGUUGGGCACUCUAAUGAGACUGCCGGUGACAAACCGGAGGAAGGUGGGGAUGACGUCAAGUCCUCAUGGCCCUUAUGACCAGGGCUUCACACGUCAUACAAUGGUCGGUACAGAGGGUAGCCAAGCCGCGAGGUGGAGCCAAUCCCAGAAAACCGAUCGUAGUCCGGAUUGCACUCUGCAACUCGAGUGCAUGAAGUCGGAAUCGCUAGUAAUCGCAGGUCAGCAUACUGCGGUGAAUACGUUCCCGGGUCUUGUACACACCG